UGGUUAGGUGUUUCUUAUCAGGAUCAUUUCACUUUAUCAUGAACAAGGAGUGCUGGUAGAAAAUGGAAUGGGAUUGAUUGUGAAUUGUUAACUAACACUCUGGGUCUCCACCUAAAUGACAAAUCUUUUGUAACUGAAGACCUUAGUUUUCCUGUUACUGGAGCUAAUAGAAGGUCUAUUCAGGCUUUGGAUCCUAUUGUAAAUUCCAUCUGCUCAGAUAGAUUUCAUAAUGCUCCCCUUUCCCCAUCUAUUCCUUAUCAGACCCCACAAUCAGAGCCAGUGCCCCUGUAUUGCGCUAAGGUAAGGAACUAGGACGUGUUUCUGAGAUUUACACAUGAGACCCUGAGGAUGCCAUCGAUUUCUGUAAUUAAAAAAAAAAAAGUAAAUGAAAUAGAAUAUAAAGAAAGCUAGACUCUUGGAGAAUUCUUCAGGUUCCCCUCUGACCACUUUGUGCUCUGAGAUUUGAUUUUAUUAUUUUCUUCACAUAUUAUUUUCAAUUUGGGGAAACUUUUA
Molecule: long non-coding RNA, 513 nt
Filed under: Bos taurus (domestic cattle)
Lineage: Eukaryota; Metazoa; Chordata; Mammalia; Artiodactyla; Bovidae
Description: long non-coding RNA NONBTAT004895
Source: RNAcentral